ACAACAAAAAUAACCACUAAUCCAUAAUUUCACAGUACCAACAACAUAACAAAAUAAUGUAAACUAUUUGAACCGUAUAACUAGUGUUAUUUUGUCUAAUAAUUAGUGAGUUAGAUAGCUAGCUAUAAUACAAGACAAUAAAGGGUACAUAAAAACUUCUGACACUUGAACAUAUGAUGAAGUCUUCCACAUGUCAAAUAUUUCGACAUCAUAACCUGAAAUAAUAAAAUAAGAUGGAUAUCAACAUUAUUUAUGAUAGGACAUAGUAUUACUACUGCUUUAUAACAUUUGACUACUAACAAUCAGACUCUGCACUUUGUCUAUGCACUUAUUUGUAACAAUAGUCCUAUUUGCAAGAAAUUAAAUUGUAUAGGCACAAUUUCGAGCUGGAGAACAAAAGUAUAGAUCCCAAAAUAUAUGUGCUUCAAAACUUAGAUAUGCAUAAAGAAUAAUUUAAAGAUAUUCAACUUAAAGUAAUUGGUUUGAAUCUAAGCUUUUCAUGAGGUGCAAGCUAGAAAGAAACUUUAAAGAUUAUAGCAUUUAUACAAGCUUUGCCAACGUGUAUUAUAUUUGCGUUCAAUAAUUACCUAUAUACUUUUAUUUGUUUUGUUUUUGGUUAAGCCCGCUAAAUGAAUAAGAGAAAUUACAUGAAGUUCCUCAAAUAAAAAAUGCAUAGAGGAGUACAAAAUCUAUUUUAAAUUAAGACUACAUACUAAAAGUUUACUUGGAGAAAGAAUCAAACAUUUAUAAACUAAUAAAAUCCUCGCUAGCUAAGUUACAAAUUAAGAGAGAGCAUACUAAUAAACAUUUACAGUGAAGAGUUGCAGAAACGGGAAUGGGCUUUUUGAGUGUUUGUACAUACUUGUUAGAUUUGCCAGAGAAGAUUUCAGGGAUUGAGAAUUCGAUUUGUUGUUCCUAUUGUAUAACAUUUUGCUUAGUAAAGUAAGGUGGUAGAGUUUUCUACCGCAUACAACAAAAGAAAGUUGUAAAUGACCAAACUCGUAUAUUAACAUUCCAUGGAGUACGCAAACAAUCAGAAUGCAAAUAUCGAUGAAAUGAAAGACAAAAACUCAUGUCGAACCUGGCUUGUUGGGUGUUUCUUGUUUUGCUUUCUUUGCCAGAGCCAGGAGCUACUUAGGAGAUGGAGCUGGUCUCUUUUUCUUUUCAACCUUCAUCAUAAAACAUCAAUCACAUAAAAGACAAUGCUAAUUAAGAUAAAUGAAAAAAAUGAACAAACAUAAAGAUAAAAAAUUUAGUACUACCUCUUUUUGAUGUCUCUUCUUCUAAAUCUUCAUCUCCAUCCAAAUCAUCAAAAAAAUCCAUUACUUAAGGACCAUAAAAAUCCUAGUAAUCCAAAAUUUAAAAAAACUACCUACACCCGGAAAAAAUAUAAGAUAAAGCAUUUCUCCCUGUAUUAAAAGGUAAAAUCUACAUAAUAAGCAUCACAAAAAACUUUAUGAAUGGCAUAGGCACAUCACUGGAGACAUCAUCACUACCAUCUUCAUUAUCCGAGUCAUCUUCAAAAUCAUCAUCAUCUUUGUUAGAUGUCGGUUCUUUUUUUGGUUCUGCCACCUUCGCAUUUUUCUCAAUAAAUGCAACCUUAGUAAGUGCAGACUUUUUUGAAUCAUGCUUUAUAUCCUUCACAUUAUCCUCAAGUUUUCCAUUUAUGCAUCUAAAACAUUCUCUUCAUGUAAAAAAAUAUCACCUCUAGAAUCAAUUUCAUCAACGCUCAGAUCAUCAAUUGUGCAUACAAUUAAAUACACACUCCCAUUUGUUUUAGUCAUGACUCAUGUAAAAUUUUAAACUCCUUUUCAAGGACCAAGUCAAACAUCAACUAAGGUCUAUCCUCUGCCGGUAGAGUUCCAAUGAUGUAAUUAUUUUCUCCAACAGUUAGGCGUAGAGGAACAUGUUUUACUUCUUUGGCAUACUUCACUUCAUCUAUUGCAGCCUACAAAAUAAAGAUCCCUAAUAGCCAUUUAAGAGUAAAGCCACAUUAUGCUAGCUUGAGAAAGAACACAAAUAUAAUUUAUUUAUUUUUAAAAAAAGAAAGCUAACCUUGUAAAUAUGAAUGAGCUUAUAAAGUUCAGGCUUGAUUUAGAAAUCGUCUUACUUUCACUUCAACACCUACACAUAGCUCAUGUGAAAGAUAUGUCACACUUUAAUAAAUUAUGUUCAUAUGGUGUAAUUUCUGCAUCAUGAAAAUAAUUGACCAAAACCGUUAAGGUAUAGAUUAAAAAAAUAAGCACAUGUGUUAGUGGUUCAAUUUAUGUAUAUACAUAUACAAACCGAUCUAUACCUUUUUCUAGUUAUUUGGUUUUGAUUCUAGUAUGCAAUUUUAACUCCUAUUUUCUCUGCAUCUAGUUGCUAGAAACAUAAAAAAAUUCCUUUAAAUGAUACAAACAUCUGUAGCAGAAAAAUCAUGACGUCUUAAGCCUUCAAGAUUCAAUCCAUGAAGCUUAACUUUUUUUCUCAGAUACAAUAAUAUACUUUGGAACAUCGUUAGAAACCUGGAGAACAAAAUGACUAAGAUCCUAAAAAGAUAUGUGAUCUUAAAUAUAGUUAGUGUGUUGCAGUCGUAUAAUAUAUGUGGAUCUUUUUCAUUCCUUGGUGGUGGUUCAGUGGUAAGAUUCUUUCUUAAUUUUUGAUGUCUUUUAAUUCUUUGAAAGACUCAAUACUCCUCGUAUGAUAAAUUAAGAUAUCAAUAGUUUCAUAUUUUGGUUGUUUUUCCUAAAUGCAAACAUAAUUCAAGAUAGCAAUACAUCUGUAAUUGCUAUACUUUUAAGUUUGUUUGUGAGAUGCACCUCAUUAAAGUUUAGUUUCGAACCACUUACUUUAAGUUGAAUAUAUUAAAAUUAGGUCUUCUACAUUUCUCAGAUUGAAAGCACAUGAACCAAUACGGUAAAUUAAUGAACAACAAUAGCUCCUGUAGUGUGGCCGUAGUCCUGUAUGUGAAGAAUUUAAAUUAUCAUCUAUCAGUUAUACUAAAUUUCCAGAAUAGGUCAUGCCUCAUGAAAAUGACUAAAACGAAAUAGUCAACCACAACAUGACCUGCAAGAAAUGUGGUGUUUUUCACUAGAAAGCAAUACAUAUUCUUUCAAUACGUUAAAACUAAAGUGUAUCUAUUUGAAGAUACAAAGAUUUAGUUGGUUGUGUAUAUACAAGGACAUCAAUUAAGAUUUCAGUCUCAAGUUUAUUCAUUUCCAAAUUUUCUAUAAUGGAUCUAAGAACGGAUUGAAGCUUUUAUCUGUAAGAGUUAUUGGCAUUCCACACAAGUUGAAUUAGAUUAGCCUUAUAUGAAACAAAUGCAUUAAUACUACAAAGUAGAAAUAUAUUCUUUUGCUUUGAUCGCUCAUUUAUUUCCUAUUAGUAUAGUAAAUUUUUAAUCAAACAUGAGUUCAUGAAGGAAUUUUUUUAUCCCUUAUAAACUUAUUAGUGAAUCAAAAGCUACUUAAUCUUUGCAAGAGAGUGAUAAGCAGUAUAACACAAUUAUAGCAUCCAAAUUACAAAUGACAUAAUAAUGCAUGAGGGAUAUCUUAAUAAAAUCAAAUUUCCUAUAACUUCUGGGAUUAUAUUUAUAGGAAAACAAGGAAUUUCACCUCAAAGGGAUAAGGGGCAGAACACAUAGGGUACAACCUCCACUAAUAAUACUGAUAAUUAUCACUAGCGAUAGUAAUAUUUUUGAGAUAGAACAAGAAAUAGUAUUGUUAUACUUUGUGGAUACACUCUACUCCAAGAUUUUCCUGAUCGGGACCUAGACUUUAGGUACUUUUUUAACACAUGAAUUUGUACAUCAGCAAAUCUACACAGGAAAGAAGCACAUACAUGAAGAAAGUAAUCUGAAGAUCUCAUUCAGUAACCUCUAAAAAUUCAUAAGCAUUUUUAUUUCCUAAAAUCUUAUACUCUUAGGAAACAUAAAUUGAUUGGAGUACACACACUAAUUCACCAACCUCUAAAAUUUCAAGAGAAUUUAGAUUUCCUAGCUUCUUACAAUUCCGCAGCAAUAAGACUCAAAGUCCUUCAAAUAUCGAUAGUUGAUGUUUGGAUAAAAGACAACUAGAAGGGACACUCUCCUCUCAUCUUCAAUGUUUCUCUCUUUGGUGAAUUCAACAUACAUAAUCUAAUGUUAUUCCUGUUUGAUCAAAAUAUUCAUCCGAGAACCUACGUUAUUUGGUAAUCAUACAGACAUAUAUUCAUGUGCGCUCUAGUUAUAUACAAACAUGAUUAUUCAAGAAAUCACCAUCCAUGUUUUUACAUAACUUCAAUUAGACUACAGAUCACACAUUAGUCACCUUAUAAUGUAAUAUAUAUUGAUGUUUUCAAGAAAUUAAAACAAAUCUCAAUCACAGAGAGAUCUGAAUGCUAUAGAUUCAGGUAAAAAACAUCAAUUUUUAUUAAUGAUACACAGAGAACUUCUGAACAACCAAAGUAAAGAUAAAAGAAUCGGCGAAACAGAGGAAUCAAAUCAAGUGAUUUUCCAUCAAUUCAACAGCAGUCAGAGAUCAUAUAUUAUGAUUUAACAAACUCAAGAAAUCUAUAAUUUCACAAAUCAUAGAUUGCCAUAGUUAGACAUCACAAAAUGCAAUUUGACAUGGUAUCAAGUAUUUCGGUACUUGAUAAGAAGAAUAUUUUACCAAAAAAGACCAAAAUGUUAAGGAGAAGAAUUAUUAAGGUAACAAUCUGAAACUUACAUGAAUGUAGAAGAUGAAGAUGAUGACAAGGAGAAGAUUUAAACAUCGGUGGUUCAGCAAUAUCGACCUAAAGUCAUGACUCUGACUAUAAAUAGAUGAUGUCUAGUGAUGGGUAAGGCUACCAUAGAAGAUGAUCAGCGUAUAUGGCAGUCAUGGUGCCGCGAGGCGGAGAGCUUUAGAGCAGCAAUGUGGAAUUAGAAUGAGUAGGGUUUUUAGUUAUUUCUUUUUGUUAAUUAUUGGAGGAAACAUCUAAAUUCUAAUAGUGGUGAAAAACUAGGAGGGAAAAAUGACAAAAUUGUUUUCAAUUAGUAAUUUUUACGUGCAAAUUAUUUUUAUUGUCGGUAAAAAAUAAAUUUUAGUGGCCAAUGUUUAUGGGCCAGUAGUAUCUCAAUGUAAAUAAUUAAUUAGUGGCAAUUGACUUAUUAUCAUUAAAUAAUUAUCGCUAAAAGGCGCCUUUUUGUAGUAGUGUGAGGUUCAUAUGCAAGGCAAUACUAGCAAUACUAAUGUGGGAAUUGUGGAAAAGGAGAAAUGCAAGAAGGCAUGGAAAGGAAAUUACUUUUUAUAAGCUAGAGCAAAAAUGUCAGACCAUAAUAACACAGCUUAUAAGAAGUAAAUACCCGUGGAUAACAGUUCCUAAAGGGUGGGACACAAUUGUAGAGGUACUAAGAAGAUACAGGCCAAGAUUGCACUAUCACGCUGUGAGGUGGAUAAAACCGCAACAAGAUAAAUUUAAGUGCAACACGGAUGAAGCUAGCAGAGGUAACCCACCCUGGAGUAAGUUCUUACAGUUUCUGUAUUCGAGAUUACAAUUAAAGCUUGAUAUAUGCUGAAGCAGAUGCUUUAGGGGAUAGAAACACUAUGAAAGCAGAGACGAUAGCAAUUCUACAGGCACUUAGUUAUUGCAAGAGAAACAAUCUUCAAAACAUCAUUGUGGAAACAGAUUCGUUAGGAAUAACAAAAAUGCUUAGACAGGAAUGGAGGAUCCCAUGGGGCCAGGCAGAUGACAUACAAGAGAUAUAAGAGUUACAACAACAUGUUCAGGCACACAUACAACAUGUAUUCAGGGAAGCAAAUAAUCUAGCAAAUGAGGCAUGUGACCUAGAGGGGAAGAUUCAGACGCAAACAUAUCAACAACUAUGUAAAGGAAUUUUAAAUACUGAUAAAGCCCAAAUACCAUCACUGAGGAUUAGAACAAGGAAGAUUACAGUACAUGGGCAACAUCAUGAGUAGAGAAAGGAAUAAUAACAAAGCAGAACACAGAUAUGAUAUGUACAAUCAGUUUUGCCAAUACAAGGCAUACAUAACUGUGCAAAAGACUACGCUACAUAGCAUGAGCUUUCUCAACUUACAAAUUCCACCAGCAAAAGUUGAUGCCUUCAAAUUCAGAUGGUAUCUGGAGCUGAAGAAGAGAGCACGCUUCUUGGAAUCUCCUUCUCUGCCUCAGCUGGAAAUAAGGAGAUUAGAGGUGGAUGAGAGACGGCAAAAAGAGAACAGAGAAGAAGGAACUCACUCACUUGGAAUCUCUUAUACAGGAAGAUGCAGAUUUGGAGAAAGGAAGAGCUGAGGAGAAGCAGAGGCGGAUGAAUCCACAACACAAGCUCAACAGGUGAACAUAUUGAAGAAAGAGCCGGACCAAAUAGGGUUA
RNAcentral lists this long non-coding RNA (6333 nucleotides) under Solanum tuberosum (potato). Its description in RNAcentral is "long non-coding RNA (STUB_LNC010133)". Lineage: Eukaryota; Viridiplantae; Streptophyta; Magnoliopsida; Solanales; Solanaceae. The record is from RNAcentral.